CAAGUCGAACGGCAGCACGGGAGCUUGCUCCUGGUGGCGAGUGGCGAACGGGUGAGUAAAGCAUCGGAACGUACCUUGUCGAGGGGGAUAACGCAGCGAAAGUUGUGCUAAUACCGCAUACGUCCUGAGGGAGAAAGCGGGGGACCGCAAGGCCUCGCGCGAUGAGAGCGGCCGAUGUCAGAUUAGCUAGUUGGUGAGGUAAAGGCUCACCAAGGCGACGAUCUGUAGCUGGUCUGAGAGGACGACCAGCCACACUGGAACUGAGACACGGUCCAGACUCCUACGGGAGGCAGCAGUGGGGAAUUUUGGACAAUGGGCGCAAGCCUGAUCCAGCAAUGCCGCGUGCAGGAUGAAGGCCUUCGGGUUGUAAACUGCUUUUGUACGGAACGAAAAGACUCCUUCUAAUAAAGGGGGUUCAUGACGGUACCGUAAGAAUAAGCACCGGCUAACUACGUGCCAGCAGCCGCGGUAAUA
This 474-nucleotide ribosomal RNA is filed under the name uncultured bacterium. RNAcentral's name for it is "bacterial SSU rRNA". It matches the Rfam family "Bacterial small subunit ribosomal RNA", at positions 58 to 525 of the family's 1533-position model. The record is from RNAcentral.